This is a long non-coding RNA of Drosophila ananassae, 205 nucleotides long. RefSeq lists it as uncharacterized. The transcript is spliced from 2 exons. The record is from RefSeq and is a predicted model, not a curated record. NCBI's taxonomy places the organism in Eukaryota, Metazoa, Arthropoda, Insecta, Diptera, Drosophilidae.
CAAGGCGGCGAAUUGGUCGCGGUCCUUGUACACCUCUUCGACUGUAAGCGUUCCUGCAAGGACACCACCGGAAAGUGCUAGUUUAGGAGGCACUGGAGGCUAGGGGUUGCCUGGUGCUGAGUACAAUCGAUGGACGACCUUACCGAGUGACCACCAGCGAGGUGACGCCCACUAUCAUGGCCACCUUGAAGACACCCAUCCACAC